RNAcentral lists this ribosomal RNA (254 nucleotides) under uncultured bacterium. RNAcentral's name for it is "partial 16S ribosomal RNA". It matches the Rfam family "Bacterial small subunit ribosomal RNA", at positions 524 to 776 of the family's 1533-position model. The record is from RNAcentral.
UACGUAGGGUACAAGCAUUAAUCGGAUUUAUUGGGCGUAAAGAGUGCGUAGGUGGAUGUAUAAGUCUGAUGUGAAAUCCCAUGGCUCAACCAUGGAACUGCAUUAGAAACUGUGCUGUCUAGAGGGUAGGCGGGGGAAGCGGAAUUCCACGUGUAGCGGUGAAAUGCGUAGAUAUGUGGAGGAACACCGGUGGCGAAGGCGGCUUCCUAGCUUACACCUGACACUGAGGCACGAAAGCAAGGGGAUCAAACAGG